UUGCUCUUCAACGAGGAAUGCCUAGUAAGCGCAAGUCAUCAGCUUGCGUUGAUUACGUCCCUGCCCUUUGUACACACCGCCCGUCGCUACUACCGAUUGAAUGGCUCAGUGAGGCCUUGGGACUGGCUCAGAGAGGUCGGCAACGACCACUCAGAGCCGGAAACUUGGUCAAACUUGGUCAUUUAGAGGAAGUAAAAGUCGUAACAAGGUUUCCGUAGGUGAACCUGCGGAAGGAUCAUUACCGAGUUAGGGCCCUCUCGGGCUCGACCUCCUACCCUCUGUCUACCUUACCUUUUGUUGCUUCGGCGGACCCGUCCUCUAGGGGACCGCCGGAGAGCUCACGCUCUCUGGCCCGCGUCCGCCGGUGGCCCACAACCAAAACUCUUGUUUAAACGUGUCGUCUAAGUACAAAAACAAAUAAGUAAAAACUUUCAACAACGGAUCUCUUGGUUCUGGCAUCGAUGAAGAACGCAGCGAAAUGCGAUAAGUAAUGCGAAUUGCAGAAUCCGUGAGUCAUCGAAUCUUUGAACGCACAUUGCGCCCUUUGGUAUUCCGAAGGGCAUGCCUGUUCGAGCGUCAUUAUCACCCCUCAAGCUCCGGCUUGGUGUUGGGCUUCGAGAUAGUUAUAUCACGGGCCUCAAAGAUAGUGACGGCGUCCCAGAUGGAACCGGUACGAGGAGCUUUUAACCAAGCAUGUACGCGGCGUGAAUCUGCGGGCGGCGGUCUUUAACCACUACUCUUCGGAGUACUUUCAAGUGUUGACCUCGGAUCAGGUAGGGAUACCCGCUGAACUUAAGCAUAUCAAUAAGCGGAGGA
Molecule: ribosomal RNA, 816 nt
Filed under: uncultured fungus
Lineage: Eukaryota; Fungi
Description: eukaryotic LSU rRNA
Rfam family: Eukaryotic small subunit ribosomal RNA (bases 1-241)
Source: RNAcentral